GACGAACGCUGGCGGCGUGCCUAACACAUGCAAGUCGAACGGAAAGGCCCUGCGUUUGUGGGGCGCUCGAGUGGCGAACGGGGGAGUAACACGUGAGUAACCUGCCCCUGACUUUGGGAUAACAUCAGGAAACUGGGGCGAAUAUCGGAGAGGAGAUCCUGCUGCAUGGGGGGGGUUGGAAAGUUUCGGCGGUGGGGGAUGGACUCGCGGCUUAUCAGCUUGAUGGUGGGGUAGUGGCGUACCACGGCUUUGACGGGUAGCCGGCCUGAGAGGGUGGCCGGCCACCUUGGGCCUGAGAUACGGCCCAGACUCCUACGGGAGGCAGCAGUGGAGAAUAUUGCGCAAUGGGCGGACGCCUGAUGCGGCAACGCCGCGUUCGGGAUGACGGCCUUCGGGUUGUGAACCGCUUUCGCCUGUGACGAAGCGUGAGUGACGGUAAUGGGUAAAGAAGCCCCGGCUAACUACGUG
This 468-nucleotide ribosomal RNA is filed under the name uncultured bacterium. RNAcentral's name for it is "partial 16S ribosomal RNA". It matches the Rfam family "Bacterial small subunit ribosomal RNA", at positions 28 to 507 of the family's 1533-position model. The record is from RNAcentral.